RNAcentral lists this ribosomal RNA (464 nucleotides) under uncultured bacterium. RNAcentral's name for it is "partial 16S ribosomal RNA". It matches the Rfam family "Bacterial small subunit ribosomal RNA", at positions 339 to 795 of the family's 1533-position model. The record is from RNAcentral.
CUACGGGAGCUCCAGUGGGGAAUAUUGGACAAUGGGGGAAACCCUGAUCCAGCAAUGCCGCGUGUGUGAAGAAGGCCUGCGGGUUGUAAAGCACUUUCGGUUGGGAGGACUGCUUCUAGCACUAAUAUUGUUGGAAGUUGACGUUACCUUCAGAAGAAGCACCGGCUAACUCCGUGCCAGCAGCCGCGGUAAUACGGAGGGUGCAAGCGGUAAUCGGAAUUACUGGGCGUAAAGCGCGCGUAGGCGGCUAGAUCAGUCGGGUGUGAAAGCCCCGGGCUUAACCUGGGAACUGCAUCCGAUACUGUCUAGCUUGAGUACAGGAGAGGAGAGUGGAAUUCCACACGUAGCGGUGACAUGCGUAGAUAUGUGGAGGAACACCAAUGGCGAAGGCAGCUCUCUGGCCUGAUACUGACGCUGAGGUGCGAAAGCGUGGGGAGCAAACAGGAUUAGAUACCCCUGUAGUC